RNAcentral lists this ribosomal RNA (254 nucleotides) under uncultured bacterium. RNAcentral's name for it is "partial 16S ribosomal RNA". It matches the Rfam family "Bacterial small subunit ribosomal RNA", at positions 524 to 776 of the family's 1533-position model. The record is from RNAcentral.
UACGUAAAGGGCUAGCGUUGUCCGGAAUCAUUGGGCGUAAAGAGCGUGUAGGCGGCCCGGUAAGUCCGCUGUGAAAGUCGGGGGCUCAACCCUCGAAUACCGGUGAAUACUGUCGGGCUCGAGUACGGAAAAAAACGAGUGGAAUUCCGUGGUGUAGCGGUGAAAAUGCGCAGAUAUCAGGAGGAACACCUAUUGCGAAGGCAGCUCGCUGGGACGUACUGCGCUGAGACGCGAAAGCGUGGGGAACAAACAGG